This 247-nucleotide long non-coding RNA is filed under the name Gossypium barbadense (sea-island cotton). RNAcentral's name for it is "long non-coding RNA (GBAR_LNC006994)". The record is from RNAcentral. Lineage: Eukaryota; Viridiplantae; Streptophyta; Magnoliopsida; Malvales; Malvaceae.
AUCUUAACAAAAAUUUAAAAUUUCAAUCCAAUAUUAGCCAAAUUCAAACAGGAUAUCACAAGGAAAUCUUAUGUCACAUGUGUACAUUAUGAAUUUGGUACAUACUUACCUGAAUUCACGAUGUACUCCUACACCAUUUAAUCGUAAAUUGAAAGGACCAUGGUAAAUAUCAUAUGCAUAUCGUUGGCAUAUAUAUAUAAAUGACAAACAAUGUCCAAUUAAUCAAAUAAAGCACAAACCAAGCCGC